RNAcentral lists this long non-coding RNA (349 nucleotides) under Vitis vinifera (wine grape). Its description in RNAcentral is "long non-coding RNA (VVIN_LNC001241)". The record is from RNAcentral. Lineage: Eukaryota; Viridiplantae; Streptophyta; Magnoliopsida; Vitales; Vitaceae.
AGAAGCUCUCCGAUGUUAUUUCCUCCGAGUGGAUAGUCUUUUGGCUUUUGAAGGUCGCAUAUUUCACCUUCCUCCUCAUCUUCUCCCUCCUCUGCACAUCCGCAGUUGUGUAUGCGGUUGCCUGCGUGUACAGCGCCAAGCAAAUAACCUUCAAGAGGGUCCUGAGCGUAGUCCCAAAGGUGUGGAAGAGACUCAUGGUCACCUUCAUAUGGAACUUCGUCAUUGUUUUCUGCUACAACGUUGUCGCCGGGGUAGUUUUGUUCAUGUGGGCUAUCCUGAUAGGAAACAACGUCUUUGGACUCGUGAUCCUCCUCCUUCUCUUGAUCAUAUACGUCAUGGGGUUUGUGUA